Molecule: ribosomal RNA, 468 nt
Filed under: uncultured bacterium
Lineage: Bacteria
Description: partial 16S ribosomal RNA
Rfam family: Bacterial small subunit ribosomal RNA
Source: RNAcentral
GACGAACGCUGGCGGCGUGCUUAACACAUGCAAGUCGAACGGAAAGGCCCUACUUUUGUGGGUUUCUCGAUUGGCGAACGGGUGAGUAACACGUGAGUAACCUGCCCUUGACUUUCGGAUAACUUCAGGAAACUGGGGCUAAUACCGGAUAUGAUCUCCUGCUGCAUGUUGGGGGUUGGAAAGUGUCGGCGGUUGGGGAUGGACUCGCUGCUUAUCCGCUUGUUUGUGAGGUAGUGGCUUACCAAGGAUUUGACGGAUAGCCGGCCUGAGAGGGUUACCGGCGACAUUGGGACAGGGAUACGGACCAGACGGGUACGGGAAGCAGCAGUGGGGAAUAUUGCAGAACGGGCGGAAGCCAGAUGUAGAGACGCCGGGUGCGGGAUAACGGCCUUUGGGUUGUGAACAGAUGUCGAAGGAGACGAGGAGAGAGUGACGGUAAUGGGUAAAGAAGCAACGGCUAACUACGUG